ACUUGGUGCCAUGUCCGGUCAUGAGAUCUCUGACAACACAGGUAUUUAAAAAGAGGCUACUUGAUGUAUGAAAUGGAUGUUGCUGAGGGCACCUAGUACUGCAUACCAACUGCAUACUGGACUGAAUAUCCAGGGAAUGUCUCUCUCUACCACCUCCUCCCCACCCUCUUCCAGUGUAUGCCUGUGUGUGCAUGUGUAGUGUGGAGCUUUCUGAGGGGGUAUCAGGGAGGGAAGGGGCAGCGGGGCACCCCGAUCCUCUCUGCUCCCCAUCUUGGGCGAUUGUAGUGGUGCCGCUGGUCACCUGUCCGUCCCCAGUGCCCUGACAGGGACCACACUGUGCUGGGAUGAGGCUCCUGCUCCCCUCGCACAGGCCAGCCAUGGAGUGAACCCCCCCUUCUCUGGCUGGCCUCUCACGGUGCUUCAGCCUUCUGCCCAGAUCCUGUGCCCUCGCAGGCCUCAGGCUUUCUGUACAAGAGACACAGUUAUCUUUUACCCACUCGCCAGCCGCCUAAGGAACCGACUGGCCAGGCAACGGCAAACAGCAUCAUCCCCAAAGGGCUUUUCUUUUCAACAAAUAAAACAAGAAAUCCCAUUCCAGACCCUUGAAAGUCCCCACCCAGUGAAGGAAGUCCAGAAGGGCCAAAAGAGAGAGACAGCUGCAAUCUAGGUUUACUACAAAACGAGGCUUCUGCUGUGGCGGCCUGCAGGCGGAAUGUCCACAUCCAAGGACAGCAUUUGACCAAAGAGGUUUUGAAUUUCCUCCUAAUUGUGGAUGGUGGGCCUGGAGGAGUGGGGACUUUGUCCUCAGGGUGACCCCACAUCCAGGAAGUCUCAGGUUGCUUCAUCACAGGAUGAGGGAGAGGUUUGGCUGGAUAGUCUGAGCGACUGCCUUCCUCCCAAGCCAAAAUUAAACAAAAGCCCGGUUUCCAAGACCCCCUUUGAGGCCCUGUCCUGCAGAAACAGCGCAAGUGGCUGGCUGCCAUGACAUGACCAUUCUGGAAAAUGAAGAAAACUCCCAAUUCUGUCCCAUUGGGAUGUCCUCCGGAGUCCUGCAUGGAUCGCCACACACUUCCUGCCUCCCUAAGCUCAUCAAGGCUUGGAAAACAAGGAAAGAAGCAUGGGAGAAGAUGCCCACAGGAUUUGGACUUCUCAGUGUGGCUCAGGCCCCCUCGUCUUCACUAGGACUUUGGGAGUCUCUCUCCGAUGAGCUUGACAUCUGAGCUCAGAGUGCCUGGGGAGUGGGGAUGAGGAAGAUCAGCAGAGGUCAGGCUGUAUGGCCCCUUUGCUCUCCAGGCCUGUCCUGGCUUCAAUCCAAGGUCAAGGAACUCAGGGUUAGCCCCUAACAUAUGACUUUGGCACCCAACCUGUAGGUUUUGGUUUUGGUUUUGUUUUUUUGAGUGAGUGAGUAAAUGUGAAAAUGAUUGACUUCCGAGUGAAUGAAUGGAUGAGUGAAUGGGUGAGGGGAGAGAGGAGUUCAUUCUGGAAAGGAGGAAGAAAUGGGAGGCCCUCCCAUUGAAGCCUGUAAGCCCCAGCAUUGCCAUCUGUUCUUUGACUCAAGUGGGGGCCAAGAUGACAGUCAAAUUUCCUGCCCUGAGGGUCUUCUCGGGGCUACACUUCCAGGGGCCCAUGGGGGCAGCCCCAGUCUCUUUUUGGCUCUCCUGCCCUGCAUUUUCACCCUCAGACCCUACUUUAGCUCACCCUAGCCCAUAGCACAAGGUGGUUUUCCAGUAGGCUAAGCCAAGGGUCCGAGGUCACGGUUUCCCCUGGGCUGGGACUUGCUUGGGGCAGUAAUG
RNAcentral lists this long non-coding RNA (1793 nucleotides) under Bos taurus (domestic cattle). RNAcentral describes it as "long non-coding RNA NONBTAT005780". The record is from RNAcentral. Lineage: Eukaryota; Metazoa; Chordata; Mammalia; Artiodactyla; Bovidae.